GGAGGCGGGUAAUGCCUGGUCAGGGGCUUGUGUUGGGCAGGCUGUGAGUCUGCCGGCUCAGCCUUCCCGGGUUCGAAUCCUGGCGCCGCCA
Molecule: transfer RNA, 91 nt
Filed under: Streptomyces johnsoniae
Lineage: Bacteria; Bacillati; Actinomycetota; Actinomycetes; Kitasatosporales; Streptomycetaceae
Also listed under: 1 other name
Description: Streptomyces sp. DSM 41886 tRNA-His
Source: RNAcentral